AAUAGAUACCCUGGUAGUCCAUGCCGUAAACGUUGGGAACUAGAUGUAGGGACCAUUCCACGGUUUCUGUGUCGCAGCUAACGCAUUAAGUUCCCCGCCUGGGGAGUACGGCCGCAAGGCUAAAACUCAAAGGAAUUGACGGGGGCCCGCACAAGCGGCGGAGCAUGCGGAUUAAUUCGAUGCAACGCGAAGAACCUUACCAAGGCUUGACAUAUACCGGAAAGCUGCAGAAAUGUAGCCCCCGCAAGGUCGGUAUACAGGUGGUGCAUGGUUGUCGUCAGCUCGUGUCGUGAGAUGUUGGGUUAAGUCCCGCAACGAGCGCAACCCUCGUCCUUUGUUGCCAGCACGUAAUGGUGGGAACUCAAGGGAGACUGCCGGGGUCAACUCGGAGGAAGGUGGGGAUGACGUCAAAUCAUCAUGCCCCUUAUGUCUUGGGCUUCACGCAUGCUACAAUGGCCGGUACAAAGGGCUGCAAUCCGUAAGGUGGAGCGAACCCUAAACGAACGGUCGUCAGUUCGGUACGUAGUAGGUCGUUCGCGAACCUACGACCGUUCCACGU
Molecule: ribosomal RNA, 559 nt
Filed under: uncultured bacterium
Lineage: Bacteria
Description: bacterial SSU rRNA
Rfam family: Bacterial small subunit ribosomal RNA
Source: RNAcentral